UACGGAGGGUGCGAGCGUUAUCCGGAAUUACUGGGUUUAAAGGGUGCGUAGGCGGCCAGGUAAGUCAGGAGUGAAAGUUUGCGGCUCAACCGUAAAAUUGCUUUUGAUACUGCCAGGCUAGAAUUAGGAUGAGGUCAGCGGAAUGUGGCAUGUAGCGGUGAGAUGCAUAGAUAUGCCAUAGAACACCAAUUGCGAAGGCAGCUGGCUAGACCUGGAUUGACGCUGAGGCACGAAAGCGUGGGGAGCGAACAGG
RNAcentral lists this ribosomal RNA (253 nucleotides) under uncultured bacterium. RNAcentral describes it as "partial 16S ribosomal RNA". It matches the Rfam family "Bacterial small subunit ribosomal RNA", at positions 524 to 776 of the family's 1533-position model. The record is from RNAcentral.